RNAcentral lists this long non-coding RNA (1534 nucleotides) under Panax ginseng (ginseng). RNAcentral describes it as "long non-coding RNA (PGIN_LNC016864)". The record is from RNAcentral. Lineage: Eukaryota; Viridiplantae; Streptophyta; Magnoliopsida; Apiales; Araliaceae.
UUUUCCUCCGUCUCGCUACGAGGCGCGCCUCGAGGCGUACGCCUCGAGCGCUAUUUCGAACCUUGGUCUAUACUUUAACUUUGGAAAUCUAACACACCUUUUGAACUUCUGCCAACUUUAACAUACUUUCUUCAGCCUUCUUCUCCUCCUUGAUUGCUAUCUCAUUCUACAAACAUUAAAGCUUAUAUUACCACUUCGCAAGAAUAGUUCUGACUUUUGGUUGAGAUAAAAUUAUAUCAAUUGAAGCACCAGAAUCCAAUCUAAAUUAUCUUUAACAAUGGUAUCCAUGCAUAGGAAAGUAAAGUUUAACGAAUUGAUCAACAGAUACCAGCACCUAUAGCAUAUUAAUUGGAACAAACCAGUACUGAGUUAUUGGAAAGCUCAACAUAUAAAGAUCUCUGAAUUGUUAGAUCAACAGAUCCUGCAUUUGUUAAGGCAUGGGCUUCCAAAGCCUUUUAAUUGAUCCAAUCAUGUCUCGUGGACACAUCCUGCAUCACCAAUCCUUUAUUCUCUUUUUAUAUAUUUUGAAGAAGAAUAAGUACAGGAUGCAAAUCUCAACUAUAUAUGAUAUGCCCUAUAUGGUAUUUAGUUCAAAUAUCAAUCCACAAAAUAGAGUAAUGCUAGCGUAUGCAUAGGCGCAAUUGAAUUGAAAUAUCAAAUAUUGAUGGGUGAAGUUGAGUCAAGUUCCAAAUAAAGAAUUAAAGAAAUAACUUUCUAGUAGCUAGAAUAUAUCAUCAAGGUAGGUGGCCAGGUCUACUCACUUCCCUAUACAAGUUAUGACCCCAAAAAAUUAUAUAUCACCCAAAAAUCAGUGUAACAAUGAAUAGAAAUGUAAAAACACAGGAAAUGAUAUUUAAUGCAAUAAAUAACAUAAAAUUAAUGUUAAUCUGGUAUUGGAAGACUUCAAUUCAUACAUGCUCUUGUUUCAGUUGAGUAAGUUCUCCCUUUACAGUUUCCAUAGUAGCUCUAAGUCGUGCUGUGACAGUUCAUUCAUACCUGCAGAGAAGAGAUGUUUUGGGUUGCUUUAUUUCUACAGAGCCACCGCCGCCGGAUUCCCGCCAAAUCCAUCGGCUUCUGCACCGUUGGAUGAAUCCAACUCGACGGUAACCGGGGUUUUGGAGGAUAUAGAAGGGACGGUCAUCGGGGUUACACCAGAUUCUUAGGACAAAAAAAGUUACCCAAAGAAGAUAACACAUGCGAUUCCCACAAAUAUGACGAAAAAAUAUUGCAAGAGUUCAAAAUCGAGGACAUACCAGUUAGGGUUUUCUUAGAUUAAUCCUCUGUUCGACUGAUUUGAGGGCAGAAGUCGAUCGAUUUGGCUUCCACCAUGAAACAAUCAAGAGGGCGGAAGAGAAAAGUUUGACCUAAGAACUUCUGAUUCGUGCUUCUGCAGUUUGGAAAAUGCUCAAGAUCUUCUCCGUUUGGAUCGUUGGAGAGAAGGGCACCCGCUUCCUUUGAUCGUAGAGAGAGAAAGUACAGAGAUAAGAGAGAAAGUAGUCUUGUUUUAAUUUCAAAUUUUCGCUUCCUGUUUCUA